AGUGAACGCUGGCGGCAUGCCUAAUACAUGCAAGUCGAACGACAGCACAAUAAGCUUUCUCCCCUACCGUUAGCGACUGACGGACGAGUGAGACAUACAUCGCCAUCUACUAUUACUUGGGUGACUUCGGAGGACAACUUACGCUACCACAUCAUACGAUGUACGGCUUAAUUCAAUAGUUCUUCAGACCUUUCCCGUCACUUUUAGCUGAUUCCGCGUCGGAUUAGCUAGUUGGUAAGGUACCGGCCUACCAAGGCAACGAUGCGUAGCUGACCUGAGAGGGUGAUCAGCCACACUGGAACUGAGACACGGUCCAGACUCCUACGGGAGGCAGCAGUAGGGAAUCUUCGGCAAUGGGCGAAAGCCUGACGCAGCAACGCCGCGUGAGUGAUGAAGGUCUUCGGAUCGUAAAACUCUGUUAUUAGGGAAGAAAAAAUGUGUAAGUAACUAUGCACGUCUUGACGGUACCUAAUCAGAAAGCCACGGCUAACUACGUG
RNAcentral lists this ribosomal RNA (497 nucleotides) under uncultured bacterium. Its description in RNAcentral is "partial 16S ribosomal RNA". It matches the Rfam family "Bacterial small subunit ribosomal RNA", at positions 29 to 507 of the family's 1533-position model. The record is from RNAcentral.